CCUACGGGAGGCAGCAGUGAGGAAUAUUGGUCAAUGGACGAGAGUCUGAACCAGCCAAGUAGCGUGAAGGAUGACUGCCCUAUGGGUUGUAAACUUCUUUUAUAUGGGAAUAAAAUGUUCCACGUGUGGGAUUUUGUAUGUACCAUAUGAAUAAGGAUCGGCUAACUCCGUUACAGCAGCCGCGGUAAUACGGAGGAUCCGCGCGUUAUCCGGGUUUAUUGGGUUUAACGGGAGCGUAGGUGGAUUGUUAAGUCAGUUUUGAAAUUGUGCGGCUCACCCGUAAAAUUGCAGUUGAAACUGGCAGUCUUGAGUACAGUAGAGGUGGGCGGAAUUCGUGGUGUAGCGGUGAAAUGCUUAGAUAUCACGAAGAACUCCGAUUGCGAAGGCAGCUCACUGGACUGCAACUGACACUGAGGCUCGAAAGUGUGGGUAUCAAACAGGAUUAGAUACCCUUGUAGUC
This 460-nucleotide ribosomal RNA is filed under the name uncultured bacterium. RNAcentral's name for it is "partial 16S ribosomal RNA". It matches the Rfam family "Bacterial small subunit ribosomal RNA", at positions 338 to 795 of the family's 1533-position model. The record is from RNAcentral.